UAGAAUUUUUUCAAUAAAGUGCACUCACGAUAAAUUUGAAUGAUUUAAUAAACAUUUAGUACGUCGCAAUAAGUGCACAAAAAUGCCACUAACGCUUUUUGUCAUACUUUUGGUCACAGUGGUUGGUGACAUCACAACUUACCCAAUCUUCCGAUGUUUCGACAAGGAAUGCCCUUUUGGAACCAUUUCUUGCAAACAAGUCAUAGAAACUAGGAAAAAUGAACUAAUAACGACCACGUCGUGUUUUAACGAAAAUAAAGAGCCCGUGAAGGUUUACAGGGGCAGUUCUAAUAACCCUUUUCCACGAUCUAUGAUCUACAAAAGGGUAUCGUUCGUCUACCCGCUUGGUGCGUCUUCAAACCCACAAAAACCUCCGAAUUGAACGUCUUCAUUAUCCAGCGCAUAAUUAUCCAACAUUAAAACCGAAAUAAAUAAAUCCAUGUCCGCAAA
This is a long non-coding RNA of Zophobas morio, 450 nucleotides long. RefSeq lists it as uncharacterized. The record is from RefSeq and is a predicted model, not a curated record. The transcript is spliced from 3 exons. Lineage: Eukaryota; Metazoa; Arthropoda; Insecta; Coleoptera; Tenebrionidae.